Molecule: non-coding RNA, 24 nt
Filed under: Cricetulus griseus (Chinese hamster)
Lineage: Eukaryota; Metazoa; Chordata; Mammalia; Rodentia; Cricetidae
Source: RNAcentral
UAACGGUCUCCUUCUCUCCCAUAG